AUGGCGGUGCAUCCCCAGACGCCGCCGCUGGCCGUCGCCGUCCCUGACCACCAGACAAGCACGGAGCGGCCGCUGCCGCCACUCCACUCCCGCGCUGUGCCUGACUUGCCGCAAGCCUCCGCCCUCCAUCACCAGUGCGCUGCCACCGCAUGGAGCUUCCAGCGCCAAGAUUCCCUUGUGCACCAUCAGCUACAACCUAGGCUGCGUGGCUACUUCCCACCCCGUUGUGCUUCAGAUUCUGUAGAGCUUCAGGUUCAGAGCUUUUCCCUUCUGAAAUUCAGUAAGUUGGCUUGGGUGAAUGCUGCGUCUGGUUCAGUUGCAAGCCGUCCUCUGUUUUGCUGUUGUUGUCUGUCUACUUCUGCUUUAUAG
RNAcentral lists this ribosomal RNA (369 nucleotides) under Triticum aestivum (bread wheat). RNAcentral describes it as "partial small subunit ribosomal RNA". The record is from RNAcentral. Lineage: Eukaryota; Viridiplantae; Streptophyta; Magnoliopsida; Poales; Poaceae.